AGAGAUGUGUGAUGACGCAUAUCAAUAAGCGGAGGAAAAGAAACUAACAAGGAUUCCCUUAGUAACGGCGAGUGAAGCGGGAAGAGCUCAAAUUUGAAAUCUUCAAGGUUCUACCUUGACGAAUUGUAGUUUAUAGAAGUGUUUUCUGUUAGUAGAGUGGCAAAAGUUCUUUGGAAUAGGACAUCAUAGAGGGUGAGAAUCCCGUAUUUGGUCAUUCUUUCUAGCUCUGUGAUACACUUUCAACGAGUCGGAUUGUUUGGGAAUGCAGUCCAAAAUGGGUGGUAAAUUUCAUCUAAAGCUAAAUAUUGGCGAGAGACCGAUAGCGAACAAGUACCGUGAGGGAAAGAUGAAAAGAACUUUGGAAAGAGAGUUAAACAGUACGUGAAAUUGUCAAAAGGGAAGCGUUUGACACCAGUGUUGUUUUUCCGAAAAUCAAUUACGAAUGUUUUAUUUUUGAGAAGUUAUGACUUCAUCGGCUUGCUUCUCUCUUUAUGAAACUUUCUUAAUGCACUUUUCGGUUAACAAGUCAACAUCAAUUUCUUUUGUUGUAAAAGGGUAUGAGGAAGGUGGCUUUCUUUUCGGAGAAAGUGUUUAUAGCCUUGUACCUCUGCAAUCGGAGAGAUUGAGGUCUGCAGCGUAGAUCCUUCGGGGUUAGAUACAUUUGUGCUAAGUUAUAGCUUUUCAUAGACAACUUGUUGACUAUGUUAAGUCUUGUAGCUUACUCGCUUAUGCUAUUUUACCUACGCUUAGGAUGUUGACAGCAGUAUAGACUGU
This 774-nucleotide ribosomal RNA is filed under the name uncultured Neocallimastigales. RNAcentral's name for it is "partial large subunit ribosomal RNA". It matches the Rfam family "Eukaryotic large subunit ribosomal RNA", at positions 23 to 640 of the family's 3401-position model. Lineage: Eukaryota; Fungi; Neocallimastigomycota; Neocallimastigomycetes; Neocallimastigales. The record is from RNAcentral.